CCUACGGGAGGCUGCAGUCGAGAAUCAUUCACAAUGGGGGAAACCCUGAUGGUGCGACGCCGCGUGGGGGAAUGAAGGUCUUCGGACUGUAAACCCCUGUCAUGUGGGAGCAAAUUAAAAAGAUAGUACCACAAGAGGAAGAGACGGCUAACUCUGUGACAGCAGCCGCGGUAAUACAGAGGGCUCAAGCGUUGUUCGGAACCACUGGGCGUAAAGCGUGCGUAGGCUGUUUCGUAAGUCGUGUGUGAAAGGCGCGGGCCCAAACCGCAGUAGGCACAGGAGACUGCGAGACUAGAGUAAUGGAGGGGGAACCGGAAUUCUCGGUGUAGCAGUGAAAUGCGUAGAUAUCGGGAGGAACACUCGUGGCGAAGGCGGGUUCCUGGACAUUAACUGACGCUGAGGCACGAAGGCCAGGGGAGCGAAAGGGAUUAGAUACCCCUGUAGUC
RNAcentral lists this ribosomal RNA (446 nucleotides) under uncultured bacterium. Its description in RNAcentral is "partial 16S ribosomal RNA". It matches the Rfam family "Bacterial small subunit ribosomal RNA", at positions 338 to 795 of the family's 1533-position model. The record is from RNAcentral.